CACUUCUAAGGAAGGCAGCAGGCGCGCAAAUUACCCAAUCCUGACUCAGGGAGGUAGUGACAAGAAAUAACAAUAAACCGGCUUAUGCCGGUUUAAUUGGAAUGAGUACAAUUUAAACAUCUUAACGAGGAACAAUUGGAGGGCAAGUCUGGUGCCAGCAGCCGCGGUAAUUCCAGCUCCAAUAGCGUAUACUAAAGUUGUUGCAGUUAAAAGGCUCGUAGUUGGAUUUCUGUGGGGACGGAGCGGCCGGCCGCAACACGCGGUUCGAGCUAGCGCUUUCCCUACAUCCUGCCGCGAACCGUGCUACCAUUAGUUUGGUGGCGCCGGGGAUCGGCUCGAUUACUUUGAGAAAAAUAGAGUGUUCAAAGCAGGCCACACGCCUUGAAUAAGUUAGCAUGGAAUAAUAACUAAGGACUUCGGUUCUAUUUUGUUGGUGUUCGGGACUGAAGUAAUGAUUGAUAGGGACAGUUGGGGCGGUCUGUAUUCCAAAGCGAGAGGUGAAAUUCUUAGACCUUCGGAAGACAAACAGCUGCGAAAGCGUUCCGCAAGGAUGUUCCCUUUGAUCAAGAACGAAAGUUGGGGGAUCGAAGACGAUCAGAUACCGUCGUAGUCUCAACUAUAAACUAUACCAGCUAGGGAUCGGCCAACGUUAUUCUAUACCGACUUGGUCGGCACCUUAUGAGAAAUCAAAGCAUCUGGGUUCCGGGGGGAGUAUGGUCGCAAGGCUGAAACUUAAAGGAAUUGACGGAAGGGCACCACCAGCCGUGGAGCCUGUGGCUUAAUUUGACUCAACACGGGAAAACUUACCAGGUCCAGACAUAGUAAGGAUUGACAGAUUGAUAGCUCUUUCUUGAUUCUGUGGGUGGUGGUGCAUGGCCGUUCUUAGUUGGUGGAGUGAUUUGUCUGGUUAAUUCCGUUAACGAACGAGACCCCAGCCUGCUAAAUAGCGCGUGUGAGCUUUGCUCGCAGCGAGCUUCUUAGAGGGACUAUGAUGCGCGAUAGCACAUGGAAGUUUGGGGCAAUAACAGGUCUGUGAUGCCCUUAGAUGUUCUGGGCCGCACACGGGCUACACUGGCGCCUGCAACGAGCAUAUCAGCUGGCCCGAGAGGGUCUUGGCUAAUCUUUUGAACCGGCGCCGUGCUUGGGAUUGACCUUUGCAAUUGUUGGUCAUGCAACGAGGAAUGCCUUGUAAACGCGAGUCAUCAGCUCGCAUUGAAUACGUCCCUGCCCUUUGUACACACCGCCCGUCGCUCCUACCGAUGAAUGUUCCGAUGAAAUUUUCGGAGAGCACCUGUGAACUUGGCUCUGCCUUGCGAACGGGAGGCUCAAAGUCACUUAAAUCUGAACAUUUCG
RNAcentral lists this ribosomal RNA (1353 nucleotides) under uncultured marine eukaryote. RNAcentral describes it as "SSU rRNA". It matches the Rfam family "Eukaryotic small subunit ribosomal RNA", at positions 411 to 1776 of the family's 1831-position model. The record is from RNAcentral.